Molecule: ribosomal RNA, 254 nt
Filed under: uncultured bacterium
Lineage: Bacteria
Description: partial 16S ribosomal RNA
Rfam family: Bacterial small subunit ribosomal RNA
Source: RNAcentral
UACGGGGGGGCAAGCGUUGUUCGGAAUUACUGGGCGUAAAGGGCUCGUAGGCGGCCAACUAAGUCAGACGUGAAAUCCCCAGGCUCAACCUGGGAACUGCGUCUGAUACUGGAUGGCUUGAAUCCGGGAGAGGGAUGCAGAAUUCCAGGUGUAGCGGUGAAAUGCGUAGAUAUCUGGAGGAAUACCGGUGGCGAAGGCGGCAUCCUGGACCGGCAUUGACGCUGAGGAGCGAAAGCCAGGGGAGCAAAGCGGGG